UAGUGGAAGCGUCUGGAAAGGCGUGCGAUACAGGGUGACAGCCCCGUACACAAAAAUGCACAUAUUGUGAGCUCGAUGAGUAGGGCGGGACACGUGGUAUCCUGUCUGAAUAUGGGGGGACCAUCCUCCAAGGCUAAAUACUCCUGACUGACCGAUAGUGAACCAGUACCGUGAGGGAAAGGCGAAAAGAACCCCGGCGAGGGGAGUGAAAAAGAACCUGAAACCGUGUACGUACAAGCAGUGGGAGCCUCUUAAUGGGGUGACUGCGUACCUUUUGUAUAAUGGGUCAGCGACUUAUAUUCUGUAGCAAGGUUAACCGAAUAGGGGAGCCGAAGGGAAACCGAGUCUUAACUGGGCGCUAAGUUGCAGGGUAUAGACCCGAAACCCGGUGAUCUAGCCAUGGGCAGGUUGAAGGUUGGGUAACACUAACUGGAGGACCGAACCGACUAAUGUUGAAAAAUUAGCGGAUGACUUGUGGCUGGGGGUGAAAGGCCAAUCAAACCGGGAGAUAGCUGGUUCUCCCCGAAAGCUAUUUAGGUAGCGCCUCGUGAAUUCAUCUCCGGGGGUAGAGCACUGUUUCGGCAAGGGGGUCAUCCCGACUUACCAACCCGAUGCAAACUGCGAAUACCGGAGAAUGUUAUCACGGGAGACACACGGCGGGUGCUAACGUCCGUCGUGAAGAGGGAAACAACCCAGACCGCCAGCUAAGGUCCCAAAGUCAUGGUUAAGUGGGAAACGAUGUGGGAAGGCCCAGACAGCCAGGAUGUUGGCUUAGAAGCAGCCAUCAUUUAAAGAAAGCGUAAUAGCUCACUGGUCGAGUCGGCCUGCGCGGAAGAUGUAACGGGGCUAAACCAUGCACCGAAGCUGCGGCAGCGACACUAUGUGUUGUUGGGUAGGGGAGCGUUCUGUAAGCCUGUGAAGGUGGCCUGUGAGGGUUGCUGGAGGUAUCAGAAGUGCGAAUGCUGACAUAAGUAACGAUAAAGCGGGUGAAAAGCCCGCUCGCCGGAAGACCAAGGGUUCCUGUCCAACGUUAAUCGGGGCAGGGUGAGUCGACCCCUAAGGCGAGGCCGAAAGGCGUAGUCGAUGGGAAACAGGUUAAUAUUCCUGUACUUGGUGUUACUGCGAAGGGGGGACGGAGAAGGCUAUGUUGGCCGGGCGACGGUUGUCCCGGUUUAAGCGUGUAGGCUGGUUUUCCAGGCAAAUCCGGAAAACCAAGGCUGAGGCGUGAUGA
This 1231-nucleotide ribosomal RNA is filed under the name Escherichia coli. Its description in RNAcentral is "partial 23S ribosomal RNA". It matches the Rfam family "Bacterial large subunit ribosomal RNA", at positions 330 to 1569 of the family's 2925-position model. The record is from RNAcentral. Lineage: Bacteria; Pseudomonadati; Pseudomonadota; Gammaproteobacteria; Enterobacterales; Enterobacteriaceae.